UACGGGGGGGGCAAGCGUUGUUCGGAAUUACUGGGCGUAAAGGGCUCGUAGGCGGCCAACUAAGUCAGACGUGAAAUCCCUCGGCUUAACCGGGGAACUGCGUCUGAUACUGGAUGGCUAGAGGUUGGGAGAGGGAUGCGGAAUUCCAGGUGUAGCGGUGAAAUGCGUAGAUAUCUGGAAGAACACCAGUGGCGAAGGCGGCUCACUGGACCGUUGUUGACGCUGAGGUGCGAAAGCGUGGGGAGCAAACAGG
RNAcentral lists this ribosomal RNA (253 nucleotides) under uncultured bacterium. Its description in RNAcentral is "partial 16S ribosomal RNA". It matches the Rfam family "Bacterial small subunit ribosomal RNA", at positions 524 to 776 of the family's 1533-position model. The record is from RNAcentral.